This 73-nucleotide transfer RNA is filed under the name Alosa alosa (allis shad). RNAcentral describes it as "tRNA-Asp". Lineage: Eukaryota; Metazoa; Chordata; Actinopteri; Clupeiformes; Clupeidae. The record is from RNAcentral.
GUUUCCAUAGUGUAGUGGUUAUCACGUUUGCCCAUCGCGAAAAGGUCCCCAGUUCGAAAACUGGGUGGAAACA